AUACGAAGGGUGCAAGCGUUAAUCGGAAUUACUGGGCGUAAAGCGCGCGUAGGGGGUUCGUUAAGUUGGAUGUGAAAGCCCCGGGCUCAACCUGGGAACUGCAUCCAAAACUGGCGAGCUAGAGUAUGGCAGAGGGUGGUGGAAUUUCCUGUGUAGAGGUGAAAUGCGUAGAUAUAGGAAGGAACACCAGUGGCGAAGGCGACCGCCUGGGUUAAUACUGACACUGAGGUGCGAAAGGGUGGGGAGCAAACAGGAUUAGAUACCCUGGUAGUCCACGCCGUAAACGAUGUCGACUAGCCGUUGGGAGCCUUGAGAUCUUAGUGGCGCAGCUAACGCAUUAAGUCGACCGCCUGGGGAGUACGGCCGCAAGGUUAAAACUCAAAUGAAUUGGCGGGG
Molecule: ribosomal RNA, 396 nt
Filed under: uncultured bacterium
Lineage: Bacteria
Description: partial 16S ribosomal RNA
Rfam family: Bacterial small subunit ribosomal RNA
Source: RNAcentral